This 238-nucleotide long non-coding RNA is filed under the name Capsicum annuum. Its description in RNAcentral is "long non-coding RNA (CANN_LNC014204)". The record is from RNAcentral. Lineage: Eukaryota; Viridiplantae; Streptophyta; Magnoliopsida; Solanales; Solanaceae.
AGAAGGGAAAAGAUUUGCGCCAGUAGGGUGUUACUUCCUACACCACUAGUGGUCAAUAUUAGUAUAAGUUUUACGCUCUUUAGACUCGCCCUGAUCAAGAAAAUUCCCUUGGUAUAGAUUCGGGUACGUUAUAGGUCCUUCAUACUUAUGAUAUGCAUUGUUAGACCUCUUUCUCUCAUUUUAGCUUAUGAUUUUCAGCAUGAGUUAUUCAGUCAUGAAUUAGUCUGUGGAUGCCCUG